This 252-nucleotide ribosomal RNA is filed under the name uncultured bacterium. Its description in RNAcentral is "partial 16S ribosomal RNA". It matches the Rfam family "Bacterial small subunit ribosomal RNA", at positions 524 to 776 of the family's 1533-position model. The record is from RNAcentral.
UACAGAGGGGGCAAGCGUUGUUCGGAAUUACUGGGCGUAAAGGGCGCGUAGGUGGCCUUCUAAGUUGAACGUGAAAUCCCUGGGCUCAACCCAGGAACUGCGUCCAAGACUGGGAGGCUUGAAUCCGGGAGAGGGAUGCGGAAUUCCAGGUGUAGCGGUGAAAUGCGUAGAUAUCUGGAGGAACACCGGGUGGCGAAGGCGGCAUCCUGGACCGGUAUUGACACUGAGGCGCGAAAGCCAGGGAGCAACGGG